This 496-nucleotide ribosomal RNA is filed under the name uncultured bacterium. Its description in RNAcentral is "partial 16S ribosomal RNA". It matches the Rfam family "Bacterial small subunit ribosomal RNA", at positions 29 to 507 of the family's 1533-position model. The record is from RNAcentral.
AACGAACGCUGGCGGCGCGUCUUAAGCAUGCAAGUCGAACGGCAAGAGAGAAGCUUGCUUCUCUCCUAGAGUGGCGGACUGGUGAGGAACACGUGGGUAAUCUACCCUUAAGAUGGGGAUAGCUGCUAGAAAUAGCAGGUAAUACCGAAUACACUCGGCAUAUCACAAGAGGUGUUGAGGAAAGGAAGCUACGGCUUCGCUUGAGGAUGAGCUUGCGUCCCAUUAGCUAGUUGGUGAGGUAAAGGCCCACCAAGGCGACGAUGGGUAUCCGGCCUGAGAGGGUGAACGGACACAUUGGGACUGAGAUACGGCCCAAACUCCUACGGGAGGCAGCAGCUAAGAAUAUUCCGCAAUGGACGGAAGUCUGACGGAGCGACGCCGCGUGGAUGAAGAAGGCUGAAAAGUUGUAAAAUCCUUUUGUUGAUGAAGAAUAAGGGUGAGAGGGAAUGCUCAUCUGAUGACGGUAAUCGACGAAUAAGCCCCGGCUAAUUACGUG